Molecule: ribosomal RNA, 480 nt
Filed under: uncultured bacterium
Lineage: Bacteria
Description: partial 16S ribosomal RNA
Rfam family: Bacterial small subunit ribosomal RNA
Source: RNAcentral
GAUGAACGCUGGCGGCGUGCUUAACACAUGCAAGUCGAACGAAGCAUUUAGAACAGAUUACUUCGGUUUGAAGUUCUUUAUGACUGAGUGGCGGACGGGUGAGUAACGCGUGGGUAACCUGCCUUGUACUGGGGGAUAGCAGCUGGAACGGGGGGGUAAUCCCGAAUAGGGGACAAUGGUGCAUUACAUGGGUUGGAAAAAUCCGGUGGGAUAAGAUGGACCCGGGUUCGAUUUGGUAGUUGGUGGGAUAUCAGCCCACCAAGGCCACGAACAGUAGCCGACCUGGGAGGGUGACCGGCCACAUUGGGACUGAGGCACGGCCCAGACUCCUACGGGAGGCAGCAGUGGGUAAUAUUGCACAAUGGAGGAAACUCUGAUGCAGCGACGCCGCGUGAGUGAAGAAGUAAUUCGUUAUGUAAAGCUCUAUCAGCAGGGAAGAUAGUGACGGUACCUGACUAAGAAGCUCCGGCUAAAUACGUG